UGGGAUGUAGCUCAGUGGUAAAGCGCUUGCCUAGCAAGCGCAACGUCCUGGGUUCGAUCCCCAGUACCAA
Dipodomys ordii (Ord's kangaroo rat) is the source of this 70-nucleotide non-coding RNA. The record is from Rfam. Lineage: Eukaryota; Metazoa; Chordata; Mammalia; Rodentia; Heteromyidae.